CGCGCCCUACGGGGCGCAGCAGUGAGGAAUAUUGGUCAAUGGCCGAGAGGCUGAACCAGCCACGUCGCGUGAGGGAUGACGGCCCUACGGGUUGUAAACCCCUUUUGUCGGGGAGCAGGACCCGCCACGAGUGGCGGAGCGAGAGUACCCGAAGAAAAAGCAUCGGCUAACUCCGUGCCAGCAGCCGCGGUAAUACGGAGGAUGCGAGCGUUAUCCGGAUUUAUUGGGUUUAAAGGGUGCGCAGGCGGACCAUCGAGUCAGCGGUA
This 266-nucleotide ribosomal RNA is filed under the name uncultured bacterium. RNAcentral describes it as "partial 16S ribosomal RNA". It matches the Rfam family "Bacterial small subunit ribosomal RNA", at positions 333 to 596 of the family's 1533-position model. The record is from RNAcentral.